This is a long non-coding RNA of Cyprinus carpio carpio, 689 nucleotides long. NCBI's taxonomy places the organism in Eukaryota, Metazoa, Chordata, Actinopteri, Cypriniformes, Cyprinidae. The record is from Ensembl.
AUAAGAGGAAUAUGUCAAAGUCAUUUAUAUGUGCCAAUCUUCCUGCUGCCAGCUGGUGGCGCUAUGACUAUAACUGGAUUUUGUCAUGUAGAUUUCUUCAGUCCAGCACUUUUAUCAAGCAUAUGAAAUUUAGUGCAGAUUGAAUAUGGAAUGUUUGAGUUAGUAUAAAGCAUGUUGUGUCCUAUUGCCAACAGGUGGCGCUAUGAUUAUAACUGAACAUUGGCCUUUAGAUAUCUUCAGGCCAAGACUCUUAUCAAAUAUUUGAAGUUUGGUGCAGAUUGGACAUUGCAUGUUUAAGUUAGUGUAAAACAAGCCAUUUUCUGUUGUCAGCAGGUGGCGCUAUGAUUAUAGUGGAAUAAUGACCUUCAGAUGUGUUCAGGCCAAGACUCUUUUCGAACAUGUGAAGUUUGGGGAAGAUCGGACAUCUUAUGCCUGAGUUACAACAACUUCUAUUCCCAUGGCGAGACAUCAAACUUUGUCACGGCGCCAUGGUCACACCCUUUAAUGAAACCUCAAGAUGUUCACAAUUUAACAUCGCAAAGGCCUUUAGAUUAGACUGACCAAAAAAAAAUAUAAAAUGUCAUAAAAUAUCUAGGAGUAGUUUGUUACGGCGUAAAACAUGUCACUUCCUGUUGCCAGCAGGUGGCGCUAUAGCGUUAUCUGAAUAUUGGCAUGUAGAUAUAUUCAGG